UUUCCUUUUCCAUUUUCCACGGACCGAAAGCAGGUCCCAGGAUCGUUUCCUUCCGUCACCGUCGCUUCUCUUCUCACGAAAGCCAAACCCUACCGGCGGAGAGAUGGGCGAGGAAGCGAAGAUGGGCCAACAUGGCGACCCCGGCGGAAGCGGCGGCGGCGGCGGCGGAGAUGGCGAAUCGGACGGCGAGGACCGGGUCGUCGAGUGGGAGUUCGGCCUCCCGAGUUGCGACGAUCUGGCGCCGCUGUGUCAGGCGUUGAUCCCGCCCGAGCUGGCGUCCGCGUUCAGCAUCGCGCUGGAGCCUUCGAGGACCGCCGUCGACGUCAAUCGCGCGUCGCGGAGCACGCUGACUGGGUUGCGCGGCAGCGGCGCGGCUUCGCAGGGUUUUUCCACCAGCGAUAAUUUCAAGUCCUUCGUUGAUAAUCAUCAGAGCAUGGAGGUGGAGGAGGAGGAGGACGGUGCCGAUGAAUCGGAUUCGAGGAAAUCGAGGAGGAUUGAGAUGGCCGAAGAAGUGGAUUCCACUCCGAGGAUGGACAAUUCGCCGGAAGAUCCGUCGGGGAGUACGUUAAAGAGGCCACGGCUGGUUUGGACGCCUCAAUUGCACAAGAGGUUUGUCGACGUGGUUGCCCGUUUAGGGAUAAAGAAUGCGGUGCCGAAGACUAUUAUGCAGUUGAUGAAUGUUGAGGGAUUGACGAGGGAAAAUGUGGCGAGUCAUCUGCAGAAGUAUAGGCUUUACUUGAAGAGGAUGCAUGGGAUGUCAUGUGAAGGACCUUCGUCGUCUGAUCAAUUGUUUGCCUCGACAACGGUACCGCAUAGCUUGAACGAUGUUGCAGGCAAUAGUGGUCAUGGGGAUGGGCAAAUGCCGAUGCCGAUACCAAUGCCUUACGGAGCACAGCUGCCUGUGAUGCCGAUGCCGGUUUAUGCAAUGGGGCAUGGUUAUGUACACAUGAAAAUGCAAAUUGGUAAUUUAUCUGGGUUUGAGUCAAAUCAAUACGCAAUGCAACAGAGAGAUUGGUCCAGUAAUCGGUAUGGUUCGGUUGCUUCCUUUCCACAGCCCACUGCGAAUGAGAAACGACUCUAGUGGAGUUUAUUGACGAUGAAGAAAGUUCUUCUCGGAUUUCUUGCUUCUUCGAUGGGUUUAGCUCGAAGUCUCUGGUCACCUCGACAACUUCUCCAGCUGUACUGUGUCAGAGAGUUCUGCAUAAGGAUUGUCAUUCCAGACUGGUAAACCACAGAAGUCUAGACCCAAGCUUUGAGAUUUAAGCUCUUUUUGAUCACUUAAUUCCUUGGACUUGGAUUCUUGAAAACACGGAAAGACCAAAGAGAAAGAAGCUAGGGCCACUUUUUGCAGGAGACUUUCUCCUCAAUACAUGCAUUGCAUCUGCGGCUGGAUUUGGCAGUAGCCGGGAUGGGACAAACCAGUAGAGAUGGAGCAAUAAGGUUUUGACAAUUUCCUGGAGGCUCAUACUCAUAGUCACACGACAACCAGGAAAGAGAGCGCAUGCGGAGAAACAUGCUUGUGGAGAUUAUAAGGUGCUGGCUCAUGCUUCGUCUGGUCCCUUAUCUCCAGAUCUGCUUCUUCUUCGUUGCUGGCUCGCGCUUUGUCUGGUCCCUCUUCUCGUUUCACAGAGACGCAAUUCCAAGGUAAUCACUGUCGUUUGCUCUCAUUUUUGUAAAUCAAUCUCUUUGCUCAGUCGUCGAUUCAAAGGAAAGUGCAUAAACCAACUCUUCAAGUUUAGUCUAAUAGCAUUGGCGCUAUUAGCAGUUGGGUCUUUGUCUAUUUGUCCGUUCGGGUUGUUGGUUAAUUGAGCGCGUCGUCGAUUUAUUGCUGAUGGGUCUGAGGGGAAGGUUGUGUUCUGGGGUUGGGGACGGCUGAAUGGUCGGAUUGAUUGUGGAGUUCGUUAGAUCUUUAGGUGUUUGUUCUGUUGUUGAGUUGACAUGAUUGAGUUUGCUUUUUGGCGAUCCUUUUGGUUCAGGGCAGAUAAAAGAAGCCUCAGUUUCAUUUUGCUUGUAUAAACAAUGCUGUUUUUGUUAGUGAUUGUCAAUGAACUUCAUAAUAUUUACUGCA
Syzygium oleosum is the source of this 2068-nucleotide RNA transcript. It is a transcript of the gene named transcription factor BOA-like, with no coding region annotated. The transcript is spliced from 3 exons. The record is from RefSeq and is a predicted model, not a curated record. Lineage: Eukaryota; Viridiplantae; Streptophyta; Magnoliopsida; Myrtales; Myrtaceae.